Molecule: unclassified non-coding RNA, 597 nt
Filed under: Hevea brasiliensis (rubber tree)
Lineage: Eukaryota; Viridiplantae; Streptophyta; Magnoliopsida; Malpighiales; Euphorbiaceae
Source: RNAcentral
GCAACAAACCCAUUUCUAAGAUCAUUACAGUAAUCCAAAAACCAAGCUGUAACACUAUAACCCUCAUCCCACUUGCUCCCAUCACCUGGUUUCACCCAGUUAGGUGGAGCAUAAUUAGCCUUGAGUCUCACAAAAUCAGCAAUCCCUUCAAUCAACCCACCAGGAGCUUUGGUUCCUGCAGAUCCAUCCCACUGCCAAAUGUGUGUCAUCUCAUGGUAAAGGACUCCAUUGAAAUCCCACUUUAUAUCAGCUUUAAUUCCUUCGAUGUAAUUGUCUCCUACAUGGAUCUCGUUGUUGCUUGCAUAGGCUAUCCCAUCCAUGUCGUCCACAAACAGAGACACUUGGGACACUUGCUUCUUGUCUGCUUCGGUGGCUUGCUGGAAGAGCCUCCAGAUGAAGUCGCUUGCUGAUGCCAUUGUUUGUUUAGUGUAUUCCGCUCCAAGCUCGUUGUUGAAACGGAUCCCUCCUGGGGUUGUUUCGGCCCUGUUCGUGACUGUGUAGUCUACUGCUUGGAGGCUGUGGAGGGUUGUUAGGAUCAGAGCAAAACAGAGGAAGAUGGAUUGGUAAGCCAUGGUGUUUUCAAUUGCUUCUUCGUUC